ACUCCUACGGGAGGCAGCAGCAAGGAAUUUUCCGCAAUGGGCGCAAGCCUGACGGAGCAACGCCGCGUGCGGGAUGACGCCUUUCGGGGUGUAAACCGCUGUUCGUGGGGACGAAGCACUGACGGUACCCACGGAGGAAGGCCCGGCUAACUACGUGCCAGCAGCCGCGGUAAUACGUAGGGGCCGAGCGUUGUCCGGAGUUACUGGGCGUAAAGCGUGCGCAGGCGGCGUAUCGCGCCCGGCGUGAAAGCCCCCGGCUCAACCGGGGAGGGUCGUCGGGGACGGGUACGCUUGAGGGCAGCAGGGGCUGGUGGAAUUCCCGGUGUAGUGGUGAAAUGCGUAGAGAUCGGGAGGAACACCUGUGGCGAAGGCGGCCAGCUGGGCUGCACCUGACGCUGAGGCACGAAGGCGUGGGGAGCGAACGGGAUUAGAUACCCCGGUAGUCCACGCAGUAAACGAUGCAGACUAGGCGUGGGGGGACUUGACCCCCUCCGUGCCGGUGCUAACGCGGGAAGUCUGCCGCCUGGGGAGUACGGCCGCAAGGCUAAAACUCAAAGGAAUUGACGGGGGCCCGCACAAGCGGCGGAGCGUGUUG
RNAcentral lists this ribosomal RNA (595 nucleotides) under uncultured bacterium. Its description in RNAcentral is "bacterial SSU rRNA". It matches the Rfam family "Bacterial small subunit ribosomal RNA", at positions 335 to 944 of the family's 1533-position model. The record is from RNAcentral.